UAAGAAGUAUUAUAAAUAAUAUUUUUCAUUUACAUUGAAACGAUGGCUAUAUGUGCGCCCUUCUUAA
This 67-nucleotide transfer RNA is filed under the name Cocculina subcompressa. RNAcentral's name for it is "tRNA-Val". Lineage: Eukaryota; Metazoa; Mollusca; Gastropoda; Cocculinidae. The record is from RNAcentral.